Molecule: ribosomal RNA, 460 nt
Filed under: uncultured bacterium
Lineage: Bacteria
Description: partial 16S ribosomal RNA
Rfam family: Bacterial small subunit ribosomal RNA
Source: RNAcentral
CCUACGGGUGGCAGCAGUGAGGAAUAUUGGUCAAUGGCCGCAAGGCUGAACGAGCCAUGUCGCGUGAAGGAGGAAGGAUCUAUGGUUUGUAAACUUCUUUUAUGGGGGAAUAAAGGUAUCCACGUGUGGAUAUUUGCAUGUAUCCUAUGCAUAAGCAUCGGCUAACACCGUGCCAGCAGCCGCGGUAAUACGGAGGAUGGGAGCGUUAUCCGGAUUUGUUGGGUUGAACGGGUGGGUAGGUUGUUUUUUAAGUCAGCGGUGAAAGUUUGUGGCUCAACCAUAAAAUUGCCGUUGAAACUGGAAGACUUGAGUGUGUUUGAGGUAGGCGGAAUGCGUGGUGUAGCGGUGAAAUGCAUAGAUAUCACGCAGAACUCCAAUUGCGAAGGCAGCUUACUGGGCCAUAACUGACACUGAGGCACGAAAGCGUGGGGAUCAAACAGGAUUAGAUACCCUUGUAGUC